CCUUAGCUCAGUGGUGAGAGCAGGCGACUCAUAAUCGUUUGGUCACUGGUUCGAAUCCAGUAGGGC
RNAcentral lists this transfer RNA (66 nucleotides) under marine eukaryotic metagenome. It matches the Rfam family "tRNA", at positions 5 to 66 of the family's 71-position model. From Rfam's summary of the family: Transfer RNA (tRNA) molecules are approximately 80 nucleotides in length. Their secondary structure includes four short double-helical elements and three loops (D, anti-codon, and T loops). The record is from RNAcentral.